This 7273-nucleotide unclassified non-coding RNA is filed under the name Hevea brasiliensis (rubber tree). The record is from RNAcentral. Lineage: Eukaryota; Viridiplantae; Streptophyta; Magnoliopsida; Malpighiales; Euphorbiaceae.
AGCUUCGCUAUUGUAUUUGAUUAGACUCAGAUUUUCAGAUCAAUCAUCAAACCUAGGGUUUUGACAGAGUUUUUGAGCGAGAGAGAGAGAGAUAGAGAUGGGAGAAGCGAAACGCGUCUCUCUGCGAUUGGCUCUUUUGUUUUUGGUAGCUUUUGUUUCCUUCGGUCAGCUACGUGCCUCUGAUGACGAUAAGAUACUUUACGAGUCUUUCGAGAAUUCAUUUGAAGGGCGAUGGAUUGUUUCUGAUAAAGAUGACUACAAAGGUGUAUGGAAGCAUGCAAAAAGUGAGGGUCAUGAUGAAUACGGUCUUCUUGUUAGUGAAAAGGCUAGGAAGUAUGCCAUAGUGAAAGAGCUUGACAACCCCGCAAUACUGAAGGAUGGAACAAUUGUCCUUCAAUUUGAGACUCGUUUCCAGAAUGGGCUUGAAUGUGGUGGUGCAUACCUUAAAUAUCUACGACCCCAGGAAGCUGGGUGGACACCUAAGGAUUUUGACAGUGAGUCUCCUUAUUCAAUAAUGUUUGGACCUGACAAAUGUGGGGCCACAAACAAAGUACACUUUAUCCUAAAGCAUAAGAACCCAAAGAGUGGAGAGUACAUUGAACACCAUCUCAAGUUCCCACCAUCUGUUCCUUCAGACAAGCUUACUCAUGUGUACACUGCUAUUUUGAAACCUGACAAUGAACUGCGAAUUUUAAUUGAUGGGGAAGAGAAGAAGAAGGCUAAUUUCCUUUCUUCAGAUGAUUUUGAGCCUCCUCUAAUUCCUGCCAAGACUAUUCCUGAUCCAGAUGAUAAGAAGCCUGCGGACUGGGAUGAGAGAGCAAAAAUUCCUGAUCCUAAUGCUGUGAAACCAGAUGACUGGGAUGAGGAUGCACCUAUGGAAAUUGAAGAUGAAGAGGCUGUGAAACCUGAAGGAUGGUUAGAUGAUGAGCCUGAGGAAAUUGAUGAUCCUGAAGCCACAAAACCUGAAGAUUGGGAUGAUGAGGAAGAUGGUGAAUGGGAGGCACCAAAGAUUGAUAACCCAAAGUGUGAGGAAGCCCCUGGUUGUGGUGAAUGGAAGAGGCCAAUGAAGAGCAAUCCAGCUUACAAAGGAAAAUGGCAUGCUCCACUAAUUGACAACCCCAAUUACAAGGGUAUUUGGAAGCCACAGGAAAUUCCAAACCCCAACUACUUUGAGCUUGAAAAACCAGACUUUGAGCCCAUUGCUGCUGUUGGCAUUGAGAUAUGGACAAUGCAGGAUGGCAUUUUGUUUGGAAAUAUCUUGAUUGCAGACAAUGAAAAGGUUGCAGAGUCACUCAGGCAGACAAAGUGGAAGGUAAAGUUUGAUGUUGAGAAAGAGAAACAGAAGGCUGAGGAUGCAGUUUCUGGCACAGACGGUCUUUCUGGCAUCCAGAAGAAGGUGUUUGACCUCCUGUACCAGAUUGCAGACGUUUCUUUCUUAAGUCAGCACAAGGACAAAAUUAUUGAUAUCAUCGAAAAGGCAGAGAAACAACCAAACCUCACAAUUGGUGUCCUCAUAUCCAUUGUCGUGGUGAUAUUAACUGUUCUCCUUAAGCUUAUUUUUGGUGGGAAGAAGCCAGCAAAAGUAGAGGACAAACCAGCUCCAGUUGCUGAGUCUUCCAACAAGGAAGGAAGCAGCGGAGAGAAAGCAGAAGAAGAUGAGAAGGAAGAUGAUGCUGCGGCUGCUGCUCCUCGCAGAAGGAGACGUGAAAACUAAAAAGAUGACCGUUGAAACUGGUCUUAUAUCAAUUUCACUUUUGGUAGAUGUUCAGUUUAGGUGUCUUGCACUCUUACUGGCUGGAUUAUUGGCUUUUCCUAAUUUUUCCAUUUUUGAAAUAUUCUUGGCUUUGUUUUGGAGUGUCAGCUGUAUGAGACUUGGGAAUGUAAAUCACGUUAUCUUGAGGCUUCCAUGGUUCCUUUACUGCCUCGGAAGUAAAAAAUUAGUUUUGAAAGCUAAGGAUUUGCGGUUAAAUUCAUUAAAACGCUGGGAAGAAUUCAAGAAGUUUUGUUUAGCCUUAUUAUGAUUUGUUGCUUAAUGAUUAGCUAGAUCCGCCGGUUCAGAAUUGGAAUACGCCAGUAGCCGACCCUCGUUUUAGGGUUGUGCAGUGAAGCUGUAAGCCUCUCACUUUGAAACCCGAAAUUAGGUUUUAUUACGAAGUUGUUUGAUGGCUUCUUACCUGAUAAGUAUUUGACAAUUCAUAAGGGGGAUGUUAUAAUGUGUUUUAACUUUCUUGAAGUUGUACCUUAGUUUUUUGUUUGAUUUUUCUAGUACUCGUUGAUUUCAUUUUUUAUCUGAUAUAUUUCUACUUUUCAACUUUGCUUUUACGUAAAAUAUUUAUGUUGCAAAUACACAUUUUGCAAUUCUUUUACUUUGUGUCUUAAAUCUCUUGUUGAUUAAAGGUUCUUUUUUUUUAAAUUAAAGUUUUUAUAACUUUCUAUUAUUGAAGAAAUUGCAUAAAUCUCAAAUUCAAUCCAACUAUAAUUCCCUCCUACCUAUAGAUUUCAAUCCUAUCAACGGAAAAUCAGCUGUGUCAUUACACCAUCUUUGUUCAAACCAUGGCAAUGGUGAGGGCUGUAUGGCGAUAUUCGGCUUGUAAUGUAUGCACCAAGAAGCUGGAGAGCUUCUUUCUUAUUUAUUAUGAAGCUGAUAAGAAAACCACAGAAACUCAACUGCUAAUGUUCGAUCUCUUAUGUCGUGGCAGUUACAUGUAUGUGGUUCAGCGAGCCUUGAGGAUUCGCUUGCUAGAAUAAUGAUCAGAUUCUUGAUUGGGGUUUGCCCCAUCUGCUUUGCAGGGUUCUUUCGUUUUUUUUUCCCCCUCUUUUUUCGAUCGAAACAAGGAAGCCAAAUGCAAAAACAACAAAAACUGCACCACAUCUCGAACAUGGGCAGGGCAACCCGACAAAUAUUAUGAAGAAUCCAGUGCCUGAUUCCUUCAGGCGGACCUUCAAUGCGGUGAUCCCAGAGGAAAGCUAGAAGCAUGAGAAGCCAUCCAGUCCGCAGCAAAAUUAGCUUGUGAAACUAAGCUGGAAACUAUUCUCCCACUCAGCCUCCACACUCCUUCAGAGACCAAGAAAUCGACUCAAGCCACAGGUGGGCACGGAUCCUGACCACCGUUGAGCUCUAAAAUAAACUUACAGAAAUGCUCGUCAAAGCACACAAGCAACGCAACUAAGCUAUAGUGCAAGUCUUCACAAGAUGCAGAAUGUCAUGCAGCAGUGGCAGAUGGUAAGAUUCAGAAUAAACAAGUAAUCUAUAUCCCAAAAGGAACACAAUUGCCAAAUAAAGAAAGCACCAAGAAAGACGAAUACCAACAUUAUAAACUCCAGUUCGCAGCCAAACUUGUUUAUAAUUUUUCACAACGCAACUCAACCAACUGGAUUUAGUUUACCUUAUUAAGACGUGUAAAAAAAAAUUGUCCCUCACCUAAAAGGAAAUUUUUGAAAAAUAAAAUUAAGAAAAAAAAUACAAAACUUCAGUUUUAAGCUGCAAUAUUUGUUUGCUCUCAUUCUAAAAUGGAAUGAUAUUGCCUAUAACUUAACUCAUCUCAGGCCAGUUGCAGUUUUUUGUUUCACUCUUCUCCAGUCUACCUCAAGUGAAUAAUUUGGUCAUCGACGACCACCAGCCUUUCGAACAGGAGGAGCCAUUUCCUCAUCAUCUGACUGGAUAUCUCCAUACAUCCAUAUCCCGCGUCUAUCAGCACGUGCUUCAUCUUGGAACUUCUCCAAAUUAUCAAGGGCUACCUGUCUUUCCUUGGAGUCCCACUUCUUCCUCUUUUCGAUCCUAGCAAGUCCUUCCUAAAAGUUUAAAAAGUUUAAUGAGUUAGAGAAUUAGCAAACAGCCAAAGCAAAAUCAGAAAGAAAAUUGCAUUGAAACGUUCCAAUAAAUCAAUUAAAAAACUUCAUGACAGGAAGAGGAAGCAAAUAUUACAAAAUCAAUUGAACAAGCAAAAGAUGGCCAACACAACAUAUUUCCAAUAAUUGAUGGAAGAAAGCAAUUUUUUUUUCACAUUUGGAUUUUAUCGUUUGACCAUAAAUAUACCUGAGUUUCACUUAAAUGGAAUAACACAGCUGAGUUACAUUUCUUUAUACUGGAGUAAUAGUUGAAAAUUCUCUCUCUGGUUACAGCUCAAAACUUUAAAGUACUAAUUUAUUAUGAUCAAGCUUUUCACAUUUGGACUCAUUCACAUAAAUCAUAUACCUGAACCAUGGACGCAUUUAUGCUGAUCUCAGAAUCCACAGCAACCAGGGUUACAAUGAGAAUUGGCCCAGUUCCCUGUCCUUUAACUUUUCCACCAGAAGUAUCCCUUUCCUCUACCUUAGCCCUGAACUCUUUUGAAGUGCUUAACGUAUGAGCACUCAAAUACUCGGCUGCUUCUGGACCACAAUCCUCUUCCACGUCUGGAACCUUAAUAUAUGCAAGACUGCACAGCUGAGCAAGACCAGGUGCCAAGGGCACUGAAGGGUCAAGAGGCCGUAACUGACUGUAUGUAACCUCCUCCUGAUUUCCAAAAUCAAUGUAGAAUACCUCAAACUUGUCUUUCAUGGAUUCCACAGCUCCACGAGGUGCAUUCACAAUCAUUGCUCGGUUCCAUGAAUUAUCCGCACUAAACUGAGCAAGAACAAUGUCUCCCUUCUUAGGAUUAAAAGCACCAAUAACAGGCGCUUCUUGGAGAUUCAGGGACGCAAGCUGUUGCUGAAUAGAGGCAACUUUUUGAUCCCCAACUGACUGGACAUAAAACCGACCACCACCUAGGACUUCUGUAACCACCACCUUGAGCACUUCUUUCUGUUUGCUUUCAACUGCUGGACCAUUAGAGACUUCCUUUCCUUCAACAUAAUUCUCCCAAAUUUUCAGUUUCUUCUUUUUCGCAGAUUGCUCAGCCUGCUCAAGAAGAUGAGCAUCAGGUAUUCUGUCAAUGCCAAAGGAAGUUUGUAACUUUGCUAGGCCAGCUUCAAGAAGAACCACUGCUAUGUUAGUCCUUGACUCCCACAGGGAUCCCAAGAAAGUUCCGGCUCUAUCAACAGUUUCUACUUCAAUCUCAACUUCUCUCUGCAUUAUUCUACGUCUCAUUAGUGCACUUGCUUCAUCUGAAUACGGUUCAUCACGACCAGGACACCUGACACCAGAGAAUGAAAAGGCAAUGCUGCAUGUUUCCUUGGGAAUCAAAAGCUUAAAACGGUGACCACUAAGCACAUAUUCCACAACAGCAGCAAUUUUCCGAUUUCGGUGCAGGAAAGGCAAGAAAUCUCUAGCUUUCUUGGCUGAUGCCGAGGCAAGGUCCGUUAUAUGAGUGACUGGAGGUUCCUUGUUAGAAUGCACUCCUCUCUUCAAAGCAGUAGCACGUGAUUCAGCAGCAAGAAGGGCAUCAUAAUAGUUUGAUCGUUCCUCAAAGUCCCUAUGCCGAAUCACAGUGCCAUAGCCACGGGAAACCAUCAACUCAGCAACAUUAACCCCAGCUUGCUGACUUCCAGCAGCUGAGGAAGCCGGUGGCACCUCAUAAGUAUCACCCUCAUUAGAAGACAACUCAAAAACUGACCCAAAAUCCAUUACUCUCAAGUCCCCAGACCCAGCAGCAGCAGUAGGUCCAUCUCCCAUGGUAACCUUCCUAGAGUAUUCCAUUUGCACAUUCACUUGUUGCCCAAUAAGGCGACGUCUAAGGAAUUCCUUAGCUUCCCGAGCAUAAUUCUCAGGCUUUUCAUCUCUACGAGGAUUGCCCAUUUUUGGACACUUAAUACUUGAUAGAUUGACCCGUCUUUCUGCCGAUGGACUUCCAUAUGGUACAGAAUCAUCUGCUACAAUGAUGCAAUCACCACUAACAACCUCCACCACCUUUCCUGUGAAGUUCUGGUCAUGAAUUGCUUUUGAAUUUGUGGGAGGGGGCACAUAAUUUGUCCAGAUCCUCAAGCGGCUUUUCUUGGCUUGAAGUUCUGCAUUCUUCAGCCGCCGCUUAGCAUCAUCUUCCAUCAUGUUUGCACUCCAUUCAACAUAUUUAGCUAGACCAUUUUCUACAAGCUCCAGUGCCAGGUCCUUUGCCGAUUCCCCAUCUGGGUAAUAAACUGAUCCAAUCAAGUUACUGAAUUUGUCAACUCCUUCCAGGACAAUACGGACAUCUCUAUUUAAAACACGCUGUUCAGUAAAAUAUUUGGCAUCUAUUCCAAAUGGAUCAGGAGCAACUUCAGUAGAUGCUGUAGAGACUGCAAGUCUCUGUGCAGACGUUAAAGGAGCUCGAGGUUCAGAAACAUCUCCAUUUUGCUCAUCAGAGUUUAGCCCUUUUUCCACAACAGUUUCUGAUGCUGCUCUUCUACCCAUUGAAGGGGCCUGGAUUCCAGCAACAAACACCUGGACAAACUGAAAAUCUGGAAGCAAAUAGACCCGGACAGUGCUGCCAUCACGAACUUGCUCAACAAUGCCUUGCAUGGGUCUGCCCUUGUUUGCAGCAAGAAGACCCAUGGCAUCCAAGUUACUAGGAUCGCCAAUGGCAGAAGGAGGUAGAUUUCUGAUGGAUGCCUCGGCAGCACCAGGUGCCUUACUCCAUCGUCCCCGACCAUUUUGCUUAGCUUGUUCUUCAAGAAGUUGAUACUCAGCAAGAAAAGGACUGGCCUCACCUUUCUGCUGACCAUGCUCCCUGACCUUUGCCCAGCCUUCUGAAAUAAUUAACGUUCCAACAUUUUGGUCAUCAAUGAACACACUCCCAAAUUCUCUGCCAAUGGAAGGUACAGCAUAAUCUAUCUUGAAUUUGACAUCCUUUCCUAUGCAAAGCUUCCUCAAAAACUCUCUGCUCUCCCAGGCAAAGGGCUCAUCAACACCUCCUCUGCGGGCCAGUCUUGGAGCGAUAAGAGAGGACAGGGUGAUGGUCCUUUCUGGUGGAGGACCAGGUUUGUUGCUGGACUUUGCCGUUAAUACCAAAGCGUCCCCUGAUGGAACAGCUUUCACUUUUGCGCUGUACCAUCCCGUGGCCCCACCUUUCGAUGUUGCCAUCUUAACAACUAAGAUGAUCUGGAUCUCUCAAUUGAGUUAUCAACAGAGAGAAACAAUGAAGAAGAAGAAAAGAAAAAUCUGCGAUAAAGAGUUGAGCAGAGAGAUUUUUAUAGUGAGACGGCUUGAACAGAGAGGGAUACAAGAGAGAAAUGGACUGUAAUAUGUGUAGAGGAGGGAGUUACAAGCGAAAGGGAGAGAGAGCUGGCAAUGCAUAUAACCUCGAUAUGGAGGUAAUAUUACAAAAGUACCACCGGAAGAGAUUGAGAUAUAUGCAACUUUUGCUACGUGGAUUUUGCG